This 471-nucleotide ribosomal RNA is filed under the name uncultured bacterium. RNAcentral's name for it is "bacterial SSU rRNA". It matches the Rfam family "Bacterial small subunit ribosomal RNA", at positions 28 to 507 of the family's 1533-position model. The record is from RNAcentral.
AAUGAACGUUGGCGGCGUGGAUUAGGCAUGCAAGUCGCGCGAUGAAGCAGUGCUUGCACUGUGGAUUAGCGGCGCAAGGGAGAGUAACGCGUGGAUUACGUACCCUCAGGACUGGGAUAGCCGCGGGAAACUGCGGGUAAUACCGGAUAACGUCUCCGGACCAAAGGUGUGAUUCCGCCUGAGGAGCGGUCCGCGUCCUAUUAGGUUGUUGGUGGGGUAAUGGCCUACCAAGCCGAAGAUGGGUAGCGGGCGUGAGAGCGUGGCCCGUCUCACUGGGACUGAGACACUGCCCAGACACCUACGGGUGGCUGCAGUCGAGAAUCUUCCGCAAUGGACGCAAGUCUGACGGAGCGACGCCGCGUGCGGGAUGAAGGCCUUCGGGUUGUAAACCGCUGUCAGUGGGGUGGAAAUGCAUGAGGGUCAUCCCUCAUGUUUGACCUAACCGCAGAGGAAGUCCGGGCUAAGCUCGUG